UGGCCAUGAUCAACUUGAAGAGACUACAGUAGGACUUAGUUUCCACAAUGAAUAUUUGAAGUCUCAGUUUGUGGAUAUGAAGAAAGAUUCUUGAUUCUGGCAAGCCUGGAAAACGAAAUAAAGUUGUGGAGCUAGACCAUUUGGCAUCCAAUAAUGAUGUCAGAGAGCUUCAUGAAAAAUUAGAAUCUUCGAAAAGAGAACUUCUAGAGGAAAGACAAACUCAGGGUACUGUAGAGGAACCUUUAAAACAUCUUGGAGCAGCACACUCAGAGGCAUAUACAAAUGUUCAAGAGCUUUCUACCUAAGUUGCUGAAGGU
This 317-nucleotide long non-coding RNA is filed under the name Olea europaea (common olive). Its description in RNAcentral is "long non-coding RNA (OEUR_LNC010375)". Lineage: Eukaryota; Viridiplantae; Streptophyta; Magnoliopsida; Lamiales; Oleaceae. The record is from RNAcentral.